Molecule: long non-coding RNA, 711 nt
Filed under: Homo sapiens (human)
Lineage: Eukaryota; Metazoa; Chordata; Mammalia; Primates; Hominidae
Description: non-protein coding lnc-PPFIBP2-3:1
Source: RNAcentral
AUGUCAAAAGGAAAGAAGGCCAAGGGGAAGAAGGUGGCUCUGGCCCCUGCUGUCAUGAAGUAGGUGGCCAAGAAAGUGGUGAAUCCCCUGUUUGGGAAAAGGCCUAAGAAUUUUGGCACUGGACAGGACAUCCAGCCCAAAAGAGACCUCACCUGCUUUGUGAAAUGGCCCCACUAUAUCAGGUUGCAGUGGCAGAGAGCCAUCCUUUUUAAGUGGCUGAAAGUGCCUCCUGCAAUUAACCAGUUCACCCGGCCCUGGACCACCAAACAACUACUCAGCUGCUUAAGCUGGCCCACAAGUACAGACCAGAGAGCAAGAGAAGAAGCAGAGGUGGUUGGCCCAAGCUGAAAAGGAAGCUGCCAGCAAAGGGGAUGUCCCCACUAAGAGACCACCUGUUCUUUGAGCAGGAGUUAACACUGUCACCACCUUGGUGGAGAACAAGAAAGCUCAGCUGGUGGUGAUUGCAGAUGACGUGGAUCUGGACGUCUACUCCACAGGAAGACCUGCACCACUGUCGCCUUCACACAGGUUAACUUGGAAGACAAAGGAGCUUUGGCUAAGCUGUUGUAAGCUAUCAGGACCAAUUACAAUGACAGAUACGAUGAGAUCUGCCAUCAAUGGGGAAGUAAUGUCCUGGGUCCCAAGUCUGUGGCUCACAUUGCCAAGCUCAAAAAGGCAAAGGCUAAAGAACUUGCCACUAAACUGGGUUAA